This 2176-nucleotide unclassified non-coding RNA is filed under the name Hevea brasiliensis (rubber tree). The record is from RNAcentral. Lineage: Eukaryota; Viridiplantae; Streptophyta; Magnoliopsida; Malpighiales; Euphorbiaceae.
GUUCUUAUUAUGUUUCUCUUGUUGUGACAGCAAGAGCUCUCUCUUCACCACCAUAAAUGAAGGGGAAUUUCCUGGUUUUUGUCCUCCUCUAGCAGCAACAAAUCCCCAAAACUUCCUUGUUUUUGUUUUCUUAUCAUCAGCAAACAAUCUCUUUUUCUUCAGAGAGCAUCAAGAAGCAAAAUUAAGAAAGAAACAAGAGAGUUUGGUGGGAAAAGAAUUGGAGAGAAAGAAAGACAAAAGGGUCUAUACUUCUUCUUUUUUAUAUAUAUCUUUUACUUUUCCUUCUUCCUUCUUCUUUCAAUGUCAAAUAUCACAGGUGAAGGUGGGAGCUUCUCUUCUGGGAAUACUACUGCUGUUGGUGAAGUAGAAGUUCAACAACAAGAGCUGAUUAUUAAUCACUUUAACACCAUAGCUUCAAGCACUACUGCAACUAAUACUACUGAUGGCUCCACUACUCAACAACCACAACCUUCAACAGUUAAGAAGAAGAGAAACUUACCAGGAAAUCCAGACCCUAGUGCAGAAGUUAUUGCUUUAUCACCAAAUGCCCUCUUGGCUACAAACAGAUUUAUCUGUGAAAUCUGCAAUAAAGGUUUCCAAAGAGAUCAAAAUCUCCAGUUGCAUCGACGAGGCCAUAACCUACCGUGGAAGCUUAGGCAAAGAACAAGCACAGAAAUCAGGAAAAGGGUUUAUGUUUGCCCAGAACUUUCAUGUGUUCAUCACAAUCCAGCUCGUGCAUUAGGUGAUCUUACAGGAAUCAAGAAGCAUUUUUGUAGAAAACACGGAGAAAAGAAAUGGAAAUGUGAUAAAUGCUCUAAGAAAUAUGCAGUGCAAUCAGAUUGGAAAGCUCAUACAAAGACCUGUGGUACCAAGGAGUAUAAAUGUGAUUGUGGCACCAUCUUCUCCAGAAGGGAUAGCUUCAUCACUCACAGAGCUUUCUGUGAUGCCCUAACAGAAGAAAAUAACAAAGCAAACCAAGGAUUAGCGCCCAAUAUGGAACGAAACUUGCAUGGCCAAGUCCCCAACCUCAUAUCUAUGCCUAUUAACAACAAUCAAGACCAGUCUACCUUAAUAUCCAACUUUAACAAUAUAGACGCCAAAAUCCCAUUGCCCCUACCCCAUGAACUCAUGCCAAUGCCACCAAAACCCUCAGGAACCAUAUUUUCAAGCAGCACUACAAGCCUUUUUGGUGGUGCAAGAAGCAUGUCAAAUUGUUCCUCAUCCCUUCAGUUAAGUGCAAAUUCUUCAACAAUCUUUGAAGGAAUUGGGCAUCUAUCUGCUGGCUCAGCUUCAAUGUCUGCCACUGCAUUGCUGCAAAAAGCAGCUCAAAUGGGUGCAACUGCAAGUAGUGCUGACCUGAACUGUCCAGUGACUCACAAGAGCUUUGUUACUAGCAUGACACCCUCAACAUUUGGUCCAAUGCAGACCUCAAAUGACCAGUCUCAAGUGACAGCAGGAGGCAAUGGAGGAUUUCUCAACCAGUUUUUCAAUGCAAAUGUUGGGGUUGAGAACUCAGCUGCAAACGAUGUGGAUAUUUUUAGUGGGGUUUUGGACCAAACUAGUGCAUUAUUCAAAAAUAUGGAGCAGGAAAAUAGCAAUGAUAAGAGCCUUUUUCAUGGUGUAAAUUCAAAUCCUGGUUUAAGUGCCCCUUCGAGGAGAGCUAAUCCACGUGGGUUAACGAGGUUUAAUGGGGACGUGAUGACUGUUGAUUUCUUAGGAGUAGGAGUAUCAAGACAAAGUAAUCUCCAUGAGCACCAGAAACAGGAAAUAGAGUUUAGAGGAAUUGGUCAUCCAAGAAUUCGUCAAGGUCUGGGUCACUUCGAGCAAACAGCUUUGGAGAAAGCCAUGUGGGAUGUCUGAAAAAGAAACAGUAAUCCAUAAUUUCUAGCUAGUCCUUGUAAUGAGUUUCUCUAAUUGCCCUUUUUUCAAAAGAAGAUUUUUGCUUCUCCUUUUUUUUGUUUUAAUAGAUGUAUUGAUGUCAGCAGUCAGCCAUAGUCUUUGCUAAAGAGCAAAAUGAAGAGGAUUUUUGGAGAAAAAUUAGCAAUUUAGUUUGAGUAGAAGAAACUUUAGAGGUGAUCUAUAAACUUCUUCUUUCACUCUCUAGGGAACUAUUUUCUUACUCUUGAAUUUGUAUGUUAAAGACCUGUUAUGAAAAUCAUACCCACAUAAAUUAAAG